AAUGAACGUUGGCGGCGUGGAUUAGGCAUGCGAGUCGCGCGAGAAUCGUAGCAAUACGAGGAAAGCGGCGAAAGGGAGAGGAAUACGUAGAAAUCUGCCCUCGGGACUGGGAUAGCGGCGGGAAACUGCCGGUAAUACCAGAUAACGUCUUCGGACCAAAGGUGUGAUUCCGCCUGAGGAUGAGUCUACGACCUAUUAGCUUGUUGGCGGGGUAAUGGCCCACCAAGGCGACGAUGGGUAGCAGGUGUGAGAGCACGACCUGCCUCAUUGGGACUGAGACACUGCCCAGACACCUACGGGUGGCUGCAGUCGAGAAUCUUCGGCAAUGGACGAAAGUCUGACCGAGCGACGCCGCGUGCGGGAUGAAGGCCUUCGGGUUGUAAACCGCUGUCGUAGGGAACCAAAUUCACGGGGGUUCUCCCCUGUGAUUGAGAGAACCUAGGAGGAAGGAGAGGCUAAGCUCGUGCCAGCAGCCGCAGUAA
Molecule: ribosomal RNA, 482 nt
Filed under: uncultured bacterium
Lineage: Bacteria
Description: partial 16S ribosomal RNA
Rfam family: Bacterial small subunit ribosomal RNA
Source: RNAcentral